Molecule: long non-coding RNA, 1530 nt
Filed under: Strigops habroptila (Kakapo)
Lineage: Eukaryota; Metazoa; Chordata; Aves; Psittaciformes; Psittacidae
Description: lncRNA (ENSSHBG00005000463.1)
Source: RNAcentral
CCGCGGGGCGGGGAGCGGCGCCGCCGCUCCUUCGCGCCGCCGCCGCGCUGAGGGAGGGCGGCCGAUCUUCGGGGGCCAGCUGAGGGAGAGACCAGGCCCCCAGAGCCGCAGGGCAGGGCUGCAGCGGGUCCCGCACGGCCUGGCUGUGCUGCUCCGACAGCGGGGCGUGAGCCGCUAUGGGCACCGAAUACGCGUUUCCAUGCCCCCCUCACCGCAACAGGACACUGCGGGGUUCUGUGGUGUAGGACUGGGUGUUUCUGUAUCCCCAGAUACGGGGGAUGGCUGUGGUGUAGGACUGGGUGUUUCUGUAUCCCCAGAUACGGGGGAUGGCUGUGGUGUAGGACUGGGUGUUUCUGUAUCCCCAGAUACGGGGGAUGGCUGUGGUGUAGGACUGGGUGUUUCUGUAUCCCCAGAUACGGGGGAUGGCUGUGUCGUCGGGGAGUGCCGCUGCGCCGCAGUGGUGGUGUGUGGCAGUCUCCAUCUUGCACGUUUUUCAUCAAAUGGUUUUCACUUAAAGGUCUGUCCUGCUGCAAGGGAGCUUCUCCCGUUCACAGCUCUGCCUGAGGGUCUCGGUGCCAAAGGGACAGCAAAGCCAUCACCAUUAACUCACCAGGGCGAUCAAGUUAUUACAGCGUUACUGCAACUUGCUGCAUCUGCAUAGUGUUGUGGGUGGCCCCAUGAAGGUGACGGAGCAGUGCUUGAAUACGAGACUAACCCCAGCAACCUGAAAAUGCUGUAACAAGGAGCAGGGCAAAGAACCAAGUGCAAGAGAAAGGCUGUACAAGUGUUUGGUUAUGUAAUAUGUCUUUAUGUGAAACAAAACAUGAUUUCAAGUACAUAAAAGUCCUACUUCACAGAAAGCAGCUUAUGUUUUAUAGCCAAGAUGCUGCACACACAGUCAACCUGGGUAACCAAGGUCGAGCAGCGUGAACUAAUUCACAGGCAACCAAACUAGGGUGAGAGUCAGGAGCACACUUGAGAGCUACAGAAAGGCGUCCUAACCACUCCAACACUGAACCUUGGAGUUAGAGUCAGGACUUUCUUAUUUAUUUCUUUUUUAAACUAAAAAUAAAGCGGAUGUGAAGGUAAGAAACUGUAGGCAAUUUUACAUCAUCCGAACCAGCACAAUAUUCCCUGCCCCAUAACCAAGAACAUGUUUUCUGACAGCUGUGGGAUAGCCGAAGCCACAACCUUGCUGCUCAGAACUGUCAUUCCGCAACAACCAAAUCUUUGAAAACCACCAGGAAGUGAAAAGCAUUUUUUUUCUUCCUCAUUCCUUGCUUUGUAUUUUCCUGUAUUUCUUCACAAAGCCAGUUAAGUAGUCAAAAACAUCCAUCCUGCUGCCUAUUGGCUGUGACCCAUCACUUCAAACACUUUGUUCUGCACCCCCAAAGCCCAAAAACAUUUAAAAAGCACAGCUGUGCUGGUAUGAAACCGAUCCUUCAAGAUGUUUUAUUGAAACUACCACUGAAUGCUAUGAACCCAUUGGCCCAUAUGCUUGAUUCUCACUAGCCUGUGCUUUUUUACACC